RNAcentral lists this ribosomal RNA (492 nucleotides) under uncultured bacterium. RNAcentral describes it as "partial 16S ribosomal RNA". It matches the Rfam family "Bacterial small subunit ribosomal RNA", at positions 29 to 507 of the family's 1533-position model. The record is from RNAcentral.
AGUGAACGCUGGCGGUAGGCCUAACACAUGCAAGUCGAACGGCAGCACAGUAAGAGCUUGCUCUUACGGGUGGCGAGUGGCGGACGGGUGAGGAAUACAUCGGAAUCUACUUUUUCGUGGGGGAUAACGUAGGGAAACUUCCGCUAAUACCGCAUACGACCUACGGGUUAAAGCAGGGGAUCUUCGGACCUUGCGCGAUUGAAUGAGCCGAUGUCGGAUUAGCUAGUUGGCGGGGUAAAGGCACACCAAGGCGACGAUCCGUAGCUGGUCUGAGAGGAUGAUCAGCCACACUGGAACUGAGACACGGUCCAGACUCCUACGGGAGGCAGCAGUGGGGAAUAUUGGACAAUGGGCGCAAGCCUGAUCCAGCCAUACCGCGUGGGUGAAGAAGGCCUUCGGGUUGUAAAGCCCUUUUGUUGGGAAAGAAAAGCAGCAGGUUAAUACCCCGCUGUUCUGACGGUACCCAAAGAAUAAGCACCGGCUAACUUCGUG